CAUCACAUUGGAUGGAUAUUCCCAUGUUUCACCUCUCAGUUCCUGCAAUCAGAAAACAAAAUGGCAAUGUUAAGGACUGAUACACAUAUCAUAGAAAAUCACUAAACAUUUUACAUUGGUGAUAAAAUUAAGAAUAGAUCUGAAAAGAUAAUGAUGCAUUUUUGCUAAAAUAUUCAAGUUUGAAAGCAUUACAUAAAUUGAUCAGGAUUCCCUAUUUAUUAUUGAAUUUCUAACCCGUCUUUCUGUUUCUUCAACUGUAGAUACACUGGUCAUAUUCAUGCAUCAUACUAAGCCAUAAAUCGUUCUUUCUGGCUCGUUUUAUUGUGGAAUUUCACCAGCUUACAAUAAAGCACAGAAUAAGGCAUUUGACAAUUGUGGAUUAUUCAACAAAUCAUAAAUUUAGUAUAAUAUGCUAUACUGUUAGACCUCAAAGAAACCACUUCUCCUUAAUUUAGGCUAAUUUGUCCUGAUUUGGAAAUAGAAGUCACACAAUCAGAAAUUAGCCAACUAUACUUUACUAUCUUGUACAAACCAAUCAGUGUGAUUGCUUUGCAGUUCAGUGUGGAGUGCAAACUCUGAAAUUGGAAUAAUAAAACUAGUUAACUAUAGAUAAGCAUAUUGUAAAAAUAUAGCCAGAAAUAAAAAUAUACCUUCUUUUUUUCUUGUAGAUAUUCAUCCCAUGCAAACUGCAAUAAAGGAAGUACUUUAGGCUCAGCAAUCUUGGUGGGGAAAUUUCUGCUAAGGGUCUAAAUAUGCAAGAGAAAAGUUUUAAAGACUGAGCUAUGUUUUAUAUUUUAUAAUGGUGUUCCUAAAAUACACAUAACCAUUAUAGUCAUGUAGCUGAUCAUAUAAGUUACUUAAGUAACAAUAUUUUGGGACCGCCUUUAGGAGAGGAAUUUAUACUACUUGCAUGUCAUAUGUCAUGCAAGAGUUUUAUCAUAAUGAUGUCAAUUUCUUCUGCAUUUAUUAUACAAGAGUAAAAUGGCUAAAAAUAGUUUAAGCAAUGGAGUGGUAGCAGUGAGACUUGCAAGUCAAGAAAUUUGCUUUUCAUCAAGCAUCGGUUCAAUUAAAUGGUCCUUAGUUACCUUCCAUCUCUCUCUACAAUAUAUUUCAUUGUAUCUCAUAAUCUAGGAAGUAUGUGCAAUGAAUUGACAGGUAUAUAUGAUGUACCAUCAGAACUAAGUAUCUGAAUGAAGGUCAAUAUCCUUUCACAGAAAAAUCUACUCUUGGGAGAUAUUGAUAAAUGUCAAAUUUUAAUUGCUUCCCUUUGGGUUAGCCAUAUUUUUUUCAUAGUAGCUCUCCUCCAUCCCUACUUCCUUUUCUUUGUAGCCCUCCCAACUCUUUAAAGGAGAUGAGAGGUUGCAGGAUAGAUGCCUCCUCCACAGUCAGUGAAGAAGGCAUUCCAUCAGUGGGUUUAAUUGGUUAAAACCCUUUUAGUCUACCCAUCUAAUUAAUUCUUGGUUUUUCAUAAUAAUGUGUGAGUUGACAUGAGAUGGCCUAGGUGAAACAGCCUUCAUAUAGCUGCUUGAGUACUAAGAAUAAAUAUUGACUUUUUGAGUACUUUUUGUGCAGACAUAAUUCCUUCCUAGAGUGACGUUCUCUACAUCUCUACAUCUGCAGAGAUUUUCAGCAACUUAACUAAACAUUUGAAAAAAGUCAACCUGGGUGCGGUUUUUCUCCACCAUGAAGGAAAUCUCAGUUUUAUUUCUACCUAACUAAGGAAAUUUAUUUUAUUUUAUACUUAUUUAUUUUAUAAGUUCAUUAGCUGCUACAGAAGGCAAGAAUAAUAUAGAAAUGGACAGUUUGUGAGGGGCAUUAUUUUUUUAAAGUUACAAAAGCCUACCUUAUAACUGCAUACUGACACUAUAGAAGAUAGACUCAUAGGCCUGGAAGGGAUCUUAGAGGUCUUCUAGUCCAACCUCCUCAAGGCAGGAGAUCUUAUACCAUCCCAGUCAAAUGGUUGUCCAGUCUAUUUUGGAAAACCUCUACUGAUGGAUCACUUACAACUCCGGGAGGCAAGCUAUUCCGUUGAUCAAUUUUUCUCAUUGUCAGAAAAUUUCUCCUUUCUUCUAGGUUGGAUUUCUCUUUCACUAACUUCCACCAGUAGUGGGAUUCAGCCAGUUCGCACCACUUUGGGAGAACCGGUUGUUAAUUUUCUGAGCAGUUUGGUGAACUGGUUGUGUUCUGUCCCCCCUCGCCUCCGUCCAAGCAAUGGCUUAAUUAGCCGGCACUAUCAGCUCUGGCAGCAAACUAGUGAGCUUCUGUCAAGUGACUCUGUUAUCUACCUUGAUGCUGAUGAGUCACCCAGGAACAAACAGUACUUCAGCUCUAGUUAAGCAGUUGAUUUGCCUGCUACAAAGAGGCAUAGCAGCCCUCGCUGGUUUUAUAUCCUGUGGGGUGUGGCUCCAUGACUCAGUAUUUCCUAGGCCUGCCCCACCCCUGCUUCUGUUGUUCCUGCCUCUCCUGCCUAUGAAGAGGGUCUAGCCAGUCCUGAUUGCCAUCAGCUGGGUCUGCAGGCGUGGCCGGGGGGGAUGGGGAAGAGUCAGGGGACGGAGGCCUCGUUAUCUCCUCCACCUGGCCUGCCUCCGGCUCCUGGAGCUGAGCCAGGGAAGCCGGUGCUCCCGAGGUAAGUCCUGAUGGCCCUUCCCCCUCACUUUCCAAGUCACUUUCUGGCGGGGGACCGGCUCAGGGGGGCGUAGACACAACAGGUUGUUGGAAGAAAUCAUUAGGGCAGAGAACUAGUUGUUAAAUUAUAUGAAUCCCACCAUUGCUUUCCACCCAUUACUUCUUAUAAUACGUUUAAAUCUUGAGCUCAACCAACAAUUCUGUACUGGAAGAGCCUUUGCAAUACCACGUUUGCGGUCUGAAGAGCUCAGGGGCAACAUUAUCAAUGCAAAGAGCAACAAGGAAAAGAGAAGCAGUUCCCCAAGAUGUGAGCAGUGCAUCUGCAAGAAGGACCUGGGUCCUGGGAAUUACCUCCGCUGCGUGUGCUGCCAUGUGAAAGGAAGGUUCGCCACCACACUUCUUCUCAAGCAGCAGCAGGAGAAAAAUCAACAAGUCCCCUCACCAUAGCAACUCCAAUCAGGUGCUACCAUUCUCUUCAGCUGGGAGUUGUGCCAGCCAGCGAUUCUCAGCAGACUUCCCCCUUAUCUAAUGCAACAUGAAACCCAACUGGUCAGUUUGGAGGUACGUUUAAAUUUGAUAAAUAGCUGUUAUUAUCAACCCAGAACGUUGAUUUUCCAAUGAAAUAUCAUGAGAUAGUGGUGUGCUGGCUCACUGAGCAUGUUGAGCUGUGAUACCCACUGAGAAGAAAUCAACAUACUCCUUAUACUUUUCUUUCCUAUACAUUUGUAUAGGGAAUUAUUUAAAUAGUACAUAUUGAUUAGUGGUGCACUGUAGAAUUAAUUUACACAGAUGGUAAUAAUAUUUGAUUAAAGUCUCAGUAACAACAUAAUGUGCUUUUGUAUUGGUGAUGGGUUUUGCUAAAGGCCAAUUUCUUUGUUCUUUGAUUAGUACAGUUAAACAGAUUAAUUCUUGCCGUAUUUAAACUCCACUGAUAGAAACAACACAUAAUGUCACAUGCAUAAGAACAGUUAAAAGUUAAUAAUUGAAAAAACAUGAUAAAUUUAAUAUGUAUAUAAGUAAUUGUUAUAUACCCAAAUUAGAUCAAUCACUGACUGCAUGUGAUUAUGAAAUUUUAUUUUAAAUGCUUUAAAAAAUAUUAACGUAUAUACUUGCAGAUAAGCCAAACCCAAUUUUUAAGGUACAUUGUGGCACCUCAAAUUCUGAUAAUCACGUACAACCACAAUUGAGCCCAAAGUUUCUGUUGCUAAGUGAGUUUUGCCCCAUUUUACAACCUUUCUUACCAUAAUUGUUAAGUGAUUCACUGCAGUUGUUAAAUUAGUAACACAGUUGUUAAGUGAAACUUAACAGCUUCCCUAUUGACCUUGCUUGUCAGGUCACAAACGGUGAUCACAUGACCCCAGAACACUGCAACAAUGAGUCAGUUGCCAAGCAUCUGGAUUUUGAUCAUGUGACCAUGGAGGUUCUGCAAUGUGAAAACUGGUGGUCAUUUUUUUUCAGUGCCGUUGUAACUUUGGUCACUAAAUGAAUUGUUGUAAACCAAGGACUACCUAUACAGUAUGAGCCUGGAAUAUUUUCCAUUAUGGACUGACAACUGUUUGCCAUCUAUACCUACGUGUUGCAGCUUCUCAGAUACUAUCACCCUGUGAUCUUGAAAUAUGCUUGGCUCGCAGACGGUUAGAAUAGAAUAGAAUUUUAUUGGCCAAGUGUGAUUGGACACACAAGGAAUUUGUCUUGGUGCAUAUGCUCUCAGUGUACAUAAAAGAAAAGAUACGUUCAUCAAGGUACAACAUUUACAACACAAUUGAUGAUCAAUAUAUCAAUAUAAAUCAUAAGGAUUGCCAGCAACAAGUUAUAGUCAUACAGUCAUAAGUGGAAAGAGAUUGGUGAUGGGAACUAUGAAACGAUUAAUAGUAGUGCAGAUUCAGUAAAUAGUUUGCAGGUUGUUUCAAGAGUUAUCCUUUUUUUCCCCUUCUUGUUAUUCUCAUUCACUUAAGACAGUAUAGAGACGAUUUCACCACCAGGUAAGGAAUAUCUAUCAUGUGGGUUUUAAUGAGAGUGGGUAGAAGCUUUUCUGUUUUGUCAUGUUAUUUUACCUAAGUGUUUUAAUUUCCUUAAGGAUCCUAAUGACAGCCAUUUUGUUCCUGUGAAAUUUGCAGACACCUUGAUGUUGACAGCCAGAUAAAUUUUAAGGGAGAAAUUGGUAACAUGGGAAACAGCGGUAAAUAUUUCAAUGGUUGUUGUGCAAUACUGAAAAGAUACACAAAAGUACUGUAUUCCCAAGUAAAACAGGAUAUUUACAUAUGAUUAAAAUUCAGGAAAUCAGUUUUGUUUUUAUUGAUAGUCAGAGGGAACUCCAAAAAGCCAAACUGGUUCCUGCUGUAAGGAAUGGGGAGGCACGCCCUAAUUUACAUUUAUUGGUAAGUGCUAAGUCAACGCUCAGUUUUGGUUGACAUUCAGGCUAAUUGGGAACACAUAGGCAGGGCAGUUAUUCAAUCUCUCUUUUUCUGCUAGGUAAUGUUUUUCUUUAAAAAAUAAACAAAAGAUAGAAGCUGGAAACUGAGUCAGGAAUAGAAACGUGGUUCAUUCUCCCCAGCAGCCUCAAAUAAUUGACUGAAAUGCAAAGGGAUCUGAAAAUUAAAUGCAGGAAUAAUUGAGAUAGAAACAUGUUUCAGGAAGUUAUCUUGUGGUAUGGUGAGAGCCUUAUAUUUAAAUGUGCCUACGCAGUGGUGGGAUUCAAGUAAUUUAACAACCGGUCCUCUGCCCUAAUGAUUUCUCCCAACAACCAGUUUGCCAAACUGCUCAGAAAGUUAACUACCGGUUCUCCCAAAGUGGUGCGAACUGGCUGAAUCCCACCACUAUGCCUAUCUUUCCAGAAAAGUAGAAAAAUAAGGGUGCUGGGAAUGAUUUGGGAAGGUUACAGGAGGUCCUAGAAAGCACCCUCAAAAAUUUGUUGUUGUUAAUAGGGUAUUUGGGACUGGUAAUAUCCAUCAUGGCUGCCAUUUUGUGAUAGCAUCUAAAUAUAAUCUCAAAUUAUCAUUUGGGCAUGUGGGGAAACAGUUGAAAUGUAUUUUUAUAUUUGCACAUAUGAUUGUUGCAAUUAUAUUGUACCUUUA
This is a long non-coding RNA of Ahaetulla prasina, 5699 nucleotides long. RefSeq lists it as uncharacterized. Lineage: Eukaryota; Metazoa; Chordata; Lepidosauria; Squamata; Colubridae. The transcript has 2 exons. The record is from RefSeq and is a predicted model, not a curated record.